GAUGAACGCUGGCGGCGUGCCUAAUACAUGCAAGUCGAGCGAACAGACGAGGAGCUUGCUCCUUUGACGUUAGCGGCGGACGGGUGAGUAACACGUGGAUAACCUACCUAUAAGACUGGGAUAACUUCGGGAAACCGGAGCUAAUACCGGAUAACAUGUUGAACCGCAUGGUUCAACAGUGAAAGACGGUCUUGCUGUCACUUAUAGAUGGAUCCGCGCCGCAUUAGCUAGUUGGUAAGGUAACGGCUUACCAAGGCAACGAUGCGUAGCCGACCUGGUAGGGGGUCGGCCACACUGGGACGUGAAAACGGGCCAAGCUCCUUAGGGGGGGAAGCAGAGGGAAUCUUCCGCAAUGGGCGAAAGCCUGACGGAGCAACGCCGCGUGAGUGAAGAAGGUCUUCGGAUCGUAAAACUCUGUUAUUAGGGAAGAACAAAUGUGUAAGUAACUAUGCACGUCUUGACGGUACCUAAUCAGAAAGCCACGGCUAACUACGUG
This 496-nucleotide ribosomal RNA is filed under the name uncultured bacterium. RNAcentral describes it as "partial 16S ribosomal RNA". It matches the Rfam family "Bacterial small subunit ribosomal RNA", at positions 28 to 507 of the family's 1533-position model. The record is from RNAcentral.